GACGAACGCUGGCGGCGUGCUUAACACAUGCAAGUCGAACGAAGUGGCGAACGGGUGAGUAACGCGUAAACAACCGGCCCUUCAGAGGGGGACAACAGUUGGACACGAAUGCUAAUACCGCAUACUGAAGGAGGGGAUUGCGUCGGAUUAGAUGGUUGGAGGGGUAACGGCCCACCAAGGCGAUGAUACGUAGCCUGUCUGAGAGGAUGAACGGCCCCAUUGGGACUGAGACACGGCCCAGACUCCUACGGGAGGCAGCAGUGGGGAGUCUUCCGCAAUGGACGAAAGUCUGACGGAGCAACGCCGCGUGAGUGAUGACGUCCUUCGGGUUGUAAAGCUCUGUUAAUCGGGACGCGGUACCGGAAUAGCAAGCCACGGCUAACUACGUGCCAGCAGCCGCGGUUCUAC
Molecule: ribosomal RNA, 408 nt
Filed under: uncultured bacterium
Lineage: Bacteria
Description: partial 16S ribosomal RNA
Rfam family: Bacterial small subunit ribosomal RNA
Source: RNAcentral